UACAGAGGGGGCGAGCGUUGUUCGGAAUUACUGGGCGUAAAGGGCUCGUAGGUGGCCAACUAAGUCGGACGUGAAAUCCCUCAGCUUAACUGGGGAACUGCGUCCGAUACUGGAUGGCUUGAGUUUGGGAGAGGGAUGCGGAAUUCCAGGUGUAGCGGUGAAAUGCGUAGAUAUCUGGAGGAACACCGGUGGCGAAGGCGGCAUCCUGGACCAACACUGACACUGAGGAGCGAAAGCCAGGGGAGCAAACGGG
This 253-nucleotide ribosomal RNA is filed under the name uncultured bacterium. RNAcentral's name for it is "partial 16S ribosomal RNA". It matches the Rfam family "Bacterial small subunit ribosomal RNA", at positions 524 to 776 of the family's 1533-position model. The record is from RNAcentral.